RNAcentral lists this long non-coding RNA (1359 nucleotides) under Bos indicus x Bos taurus (hybrid cattle). RNAcentral describes it as "lncRNA (ENSBIXG00000027691.1)". Lineage: Eukaryota; Metazoa; Chordata; Mammalia; Artiodactyla; Bovidae. The record is from RNAcentral.
GUGUAAUCUCAAUUGUAAUCUAAAUCUGCUCAGAAAUUACAGUUGAACUUCAUUUCCUCAGCCUGAAGUUUCAAGGGGAGGACUUAUAUUCUUACCUGCCGUAUGAGAAGAGAGGAGGUUUAUCUAAUGGGUGAGUUUGGGACAAGGAACUAAGAAGUGCUUGCUUGUUUCCAAAUCUUUUCUUUGAAAAUAUGUUAUGUACCCACAGCACCGUGAACGUGGGUCUGCAGUUGGCAGCCUGUGUCUGGGAUGGGGGUCAAGCAUUUGCUUCCUCCCCUUAGGCCUGCAUGGGGAAGUGUCUGACUUGGGAUGAAGUUUUCAGAGGCCCACUUUGACUGCACACCUAAAGCACGUCCUCCAGUUUCACAGCUCUCAAGUACUAAGACCCAACAUAGCCACAGUGCUGUCGAAGAAACUUUAGGUUGCUCUUCUAUGACGCAUCAGACCUUGUUUCUCAUAUUCGGCCUGAAGUUUUCUCACGAUCUGCUGAAACUGGUCUUGGAUGCUAAUGACCAUCUUCUCUUUACUGUUGGUUCUGUUUCGUGCAUUACCCAGUUGCUGUCAGAGCAACAUGUUUUCACUCUGGAGUUGAGAUAAUCUCUCCUCUAAGGAUUCCUGCUUUCCAAGGUAUGUAUUCACUUUGCCUUGUUCAUUCUUCAUACAUGUGUUCAAUUUCCUGCUUUUGACACUCUGAUUGCCUUAGAUCUCUCUGGACACGUUCUAACAUCAAAGUCUUUUCUCUAAGAUCAUCUCUCAUGUGAUGCAGCUUGAUUUUCAGCUUAUUGAAAAUAUUUUCCACUGUAGAUAGUUGCUGGGAAAGCGUCUCCUUGUUAUCUUUUAGAUUAGCCACAUCGUACUUCAUUUUGUCCCGCAAGCAUAACCACUUGUCUCUUGCUCUCUGGAAGGCAAGUUCCAGAUCUCUUUUUGAUGUUGGACCUUGAUCAUGAUCAUGUAAGGCAGCAGCCAGUCUAGAAUGGUAGGAUUUCACUUCCGUUUCCAAUCUCUGUUUACUUUCUUUUUCGUUCUCCAGCUUAGAGUUUAGCAUUGUAUUCUCAGCUGUCAGACCAUUAAGCUGGCCUGUAUAGUGGGAUAUAGUUUUUGUUAACAUUUCCUCGUUCAGUUUUAUUGCCUUUUAAAGAUCAUCAUUCUUUACUUUGAGAAUUUCAAUGUCCUCAAAAUAGUUCUCUUCCUUUUCCCAAUGCUGAUUUUUCAGUGCAUCUAUCUCCAGUCUUAGCAUGGGAAUUUCCUCCUGCAGCAUGUGCUUUUUUGUGCAACAGGUCUUCUAUUUCUUCACAACUAUCAUAAACUUAAGUGAAACAAAGGAGAUAUUUAGCUAGUAUUCAGUAAAGUGACAUUCCA